CAUUAGUCUUUCAAAUCGGCAUUCCUACAUCAAUCCUAAUUUACUACUUGUGCCAUCAAUUCCCAUUGAUAUGAGAAAAUGUGAUUUAUUGACCAAUAGCUUCAAGGAGACAAUAGCGGAAAUAAGGGAUGGUGUUUGCAUACCUUUGCCAACAACUAGGCCAAAUUGUUUCAAGGUAAGUGCGUUGAAG
This is a non-coding RNA of Arabidopsis thaliana (thale cress), 190 nucleotides long. RefSeq annotates it as other RNA. The transcript has a single exon. Lineage: Eukaryota; Viridiplantae; Streptophyta; Magnoliopsida; Brassicales; Brassicaceae. The record is from RefSeq.